This 73-nucleotide transfer RNA is filed under the name Penaeus japonicus. RNAcentral's name for it is "tRNA-Val". It matches the Rfam family "tRNA". From Rfam's summary of the family: Transfer RNA (tRNA) molecules are approximately 80 nucleotides in length. Lineage: Eukaryota; Metazoa; Arthropoda; Malacostraca; Decapoda; Penaeidae. The record is from RNAcentral.
GUUUCCGUAGUGUAGUGGUUAUCACGUGCGCUUAACACGCGCAAGGUCCCCGGUUCGAUCCCGGGCGGAAACA